GCAGAUGCGGGAGACCCUGGAUCCUCCAGGUCCGUCCACCCUGUGAUCCCGGGCUGACACGGCCCAGCCUUCUUCACGGCCGUGGAAGAACUCCAUUCAGAGGCAGUCGUGAUAAACCAGAGCAUCAGCCCUUUCCGCUGGGAUACCAAUAAGUCUUGAACUUCAAAACUGCUGACCUAAAAAGGAUACUUGAGAAGGAGCAAGUCUUUCCUUUUUUCUUUUAAAGAAAGCAACACCAGAAGCAGUCGAACUUCCUUGUUCACUUAGGUGCAUGCAAAAAAGAAAAGUUUACUCUGCUUCAGGACCCUCUCUUACCCCUCAUGGCGUGAGCCUGAAGCCUGUCCACUGAGGAGCGUUCUAAGAACUUCCAGAUCAUUCCAUGGAACUACAGCAGAAAGGACCCGAGGUGAGAAGAGGUAAUGUGCCAUCUUUUAGGUUCCUUGUUACUGGUUUAAGGUCUUAGACAUGCAUCCUUCCUUAUUGUAGCAAUAGCUAUCAUGUCAAUACCAGGCCCCGUGCAUUUGAUUCUGUGUUCAAACCUUUCAGGUUAAAUACUAUUAAUAUUUGCCAUUUGGCAAAUGGGCAGAUUAAGUCUUGGAAACCCUCAGUGACUGGCCAGAUCACACAAGUCAGUGAAUCCGUCAGGUUCUAAAGCUCAAGCUCUGAACUAUUUUGCUUUAUUUACUUCUUGGGCUAAAAAAUUCAGCAUCAAUGUGGUGAAAAGCCAGAAAUCACAAUCUAACCACAUGCAAAACAUUUGCUGAAAGCUUUCAUUAAAAAUAGCCAACAGGAGCUCCCAUCACAGCGCAGGGGAAACUAGGAACCAUGAGGGUGUGGGUUCAAUCCCUGGCCUCACUCAGUGGGUUAAGGAUCCAGCAUUGCCAUGAGCUGUGGUGUAGGUCACAGACGCAGCUCGGAUCUGGUGUUGCUGUGGCUGUGGCAUAGGCCAGCAGCUGUAGCUCCAAUUGGACCCCUAGCCUGGGAACCUCCAUACGUGGUGGGUGCAGCCCUAAAAAGCAAAAAAAAAAAAGUCCCACCUAUUGUGAAGCUGUUUGGAGGGGACAUAUACAAAAUAAAUGAAAAGAACUGUUGUUUUUCUUGAAUAGUAUUCUUGUAGGGCUUAUGUGAUAACUGCAAACUGGAAACGACUGGAUAUUGCACCAAGUUGCUGGGGCUGAUUACAACGGCCCCAUAAAAGGAAGGACCAUCAUUGUACAAACCUGUCUCUUCCAGGCCACCACCAAUUGAACUGAAGAUGUAUUUCCAUCAUAUCCUAUUCUGACAUGUCAGCCCCUAACCGACUUAACUAGCUAAUAUCACUAACUUAAAACCCAAAUCAGUAGGUACUUAGGGAAAAAAGGGUUUUCACUGCUCUAAAAACACAUUCCUUCCCUUUGUUUGUUUGUUUGUUUUUUAGGGGCGCACCCACUGCAUAUGGAGCUUCCCAGGCUAGGGGUCGAAUUGGAGCUGUAGUUGACAGCCUACGCCACAGCCACAGCAAUGCGUGGUCCGAGCUGCGCCUGCAACCGACAGCACAGCUCAUGGCCAGAUCCUUAACCAGUGAGCAAGGCCAGGGAUCGAACCUGCAACCUCUUUGUUCCUAGUCGGGUUCGUUUCCUCUGAGCCACGACAGGAACUCCAUCCUUCCCUUCUUUAUUAAAGGUAGUGUUAAAUCGGCACAGUGUGAGAGCCGCCCUGAACUCGGAAGCACUUGCAUCCGAGAUGGACGCAGAAGCCCAGGCAGCUCUAGUUCCUGUUCGGGGCUGCACUGGUUAUAUACGGCCCAUACACAAAGGAAAGGCCCCAGUACUGCCUCUUUCAUCCGUAAUUUUAAGUAAGAUUGAAAGACAUGCCCCAAAAUGCCAUUGGCUUGAUUCAUGUACUGUCUUCAGUCAAAUCUCAACAUUCCAUUCCAAACACGAAAUAUAUGUUUUUAAUGUAAAUAAGUAAACUUUCCAGCUCUGAAUACGAGGGGGUGGGAAGCCUUUAUCUUGGCGGGGGUUGGGCAGUGCAGCCGUCUAACCUCCUUCAAGUAGCCUUCGAAUCCCUUAAAGUGAAAGUGCUUGUUAUUUGUCUUUAGCAAAUAAAACAAACAGCACUCUUUGAUCUUUAGGAAGCUCUUUCUUGUUCAAGUAACAUUCUGUCUGACUUUUAUGUUUCAGCAUUGUAUAUUUAAUUAUUUUUUAAAGUUUUGUUUUCAAUGAUUACACUUUUUCAUAACUUAGGAUAAACACAGGCAUGCUUUGUUAAAGAUUAAAAAUAAAUCUCACGAAACUGCAAAAGGUGGCAAAGAUAAUACCACAUGGGGUCGGUAUGUUCCAAAACACGAUUCUCAGGGGACCCCCUCUAAACACACUGCUUCAUUAGAAUUCUUGUUCUGAAAAGUUUCAGGAAGCCCCUGACUCUAACCCACCCUUUCCUGAAACUGGUGAAAGUAGGAAAAAAAAUUUCCCCUGCAGUGAAAAAUAGAAGAAUCUCUACACAUCAGGGAGGCAUGUUGUGUCUUUUUUUAGAUUGUUCCUUGGUGCAAAAAUACCUUGCUGCUAACUUUAUCAUGUCCUUCAAACAGGGAACACACUGGGAUAGCAAUCACAAAAACAAGUGUGUUUACAUCAUUCAGUAGAUAUGUUAUCAAAGGACGGCUUUUAAUUCGACUUGAGAGUAAUUUCUAGAGCUUAGUACAUUGAAAACAGCAUCUCACUGCAACCUAUUCAAUAUUGACUGUGACCGUUUAUAAAUACGGGAACUUUUGGAAAUAGCAAGAUAGAGAUAGAAACAGAUUUUUCCUUGGCGACUCAUUUUGCAGCCCUUUCAGACGUAUCUUUGAAUGUUCACUUGUUCUUCCACUUUACUCCUCCUAUUGCAUUUCCUUUAUUCUUUCUGAAACAUUUCCUCUUUCUGCGGUUGGGAGAGCGGUGGGCCCUCAGGGGUCUGGGACGAGGCCGUCUGAAAUGCUAGUGCAGUUCUUGAAGCAGACGGUAGGUGGCGAUGAAAAGCCGUGCCUCUCUGCCAGCCGUCCUUUCUGGAAGUCCCAAAUCAGAAGUGUGAAAAGUCAGAGCUAAGAGGACAGGGGAGAGAGCAGACGGGAACCAGAAAAUGUGGGUGCUGCGCCUCCGGGAGACACCCACGUUUACGACUAGGAUCCAGCUUCCUUACUUUCAGAUGGGAAACGAGUCUACUGCAGCUGAAGAAAUUAAAUAUGUAGACGCAAUGAUAUCUAAAUGAGGGUUCCACUUACUCAGUGCUCCUGAUUUUGCACAUUCUAACAUGCCAGUGCCAUUUGCUAAAACAACAAAAAUGCACACAUGUGAAUUCAAUAAAGUAUUAAAAAGUGGGUUUUUUUUUUUUUUUUUAAGUUUAGAAUUACAGGAGUCUUUUACAGACCUUUCAUAACGUCAGAUUCCUGGAAGGAAAAUCUUUUCCAUAAGGAAUAAUGAAAUAGAAAGGUUUUCUAGAGUUUCUCUAAGAGAACAGGGAAUGAAUUGCCCAAAGAUGUCAAGCGGAGCCAUAGCUAUGGUCCGUAGCUCGGAGUGGAAUGUGAUCGGCCAUCGGAAAGGAAUGCAGUCUGUGUUCGCUGGAAUGAAGUGGGCUUUAUGAGUUAUUCUUUCCCAGGACCAAAAAUUGACAAUCGGUUGGCCUAAAUGAAAGUGUUGCUCUUUGGACAGAGUUGUGGGAAUUAGGAGAGAGACUUAGACAGCUACAAGUUCAAGCACAUUGCUGCCCUGGCACUGGGCCCACUGCAGUCUGAGUAAAAUAGAGCUAAAAGCCAAUUAAUGGAGGGUUAACUCUUCCUUAAAACCUGGAACUAUAUCAUCUUGCAAUUAGAGAUCCUGUGUUCUGACCACUCUCCAGAAGGAAGUAUCGCCGGCGGGACAUCUUUGAGAGGCGACUUCCAGACAUCUUCUGGAACACUCUGAAGCAAGAGCGCCAGCAGCCUUUCAGAAGACCCCAUUCCAUCCCUGCGCCCUCGAUUUCAGCAUUUCUUCAACUGUAUGGAACACACAGACAUACUCUUGGAGGCCUCAGAGUUCUAAAAACGAUCUGCAAAUUUUUGUCUUUUCCUUGGGAUCGCCAUCCAAAAGGAAGUGAUACGUGCGCCUCCUCCGGUGACGCGUUUCUUUUUUAAUUAGUACACUUUAUGUGGACGAGUGGUUUGAGGUUUACAGAGAAACUGAGUGAAAAGUGUAAACUCACCUUCCAGCCCUGACUCCUCCACCUCCAGUUCCCACGAUUAACAGCUUCCGUCCGGGUGGCGUAUUCGUCACAGUUGAGGAGCCCAUAGUAAUACAUUCUUAUUCAUUAAAGCCCAUACUUGGCACUAGGGUUCAUUCUCUGCGUUAUACAUCCUAGGAGUUUUGACAAAUGCAAUGACUCCUUUUUGUCCGAGGACCACCAGAGAGAUUUUCAGUCUUACCUUGCUUUUGUGUUUCGAGACCGGUUCCGCUUUAAUUGUCCCGGAUGAGUAAGACAGGAACAGAGUUGGACUUAAUAGGCAACACGUGAUGUCAGUUUUAGUGAUGGAAACUCACACGCCUCAGACAUGAAGGUUUGUCUGUGGUUCAGAAGAAGAAACGGUUUGCUUGGAGUUACCCCAAGACGUGCUGUGGUCCGCCCUCCCCAAGGCAGACGCCGUCAUCGCUGCCGUGUUCACAUCCUGAAAGGUGAUGUUUGUUUCAGCAAAUAGUAUUUCUCACAUUAAUAUAAGGCUAUUGCAAUAUCGCUGACUUUGUAGUUUGCAUUUGCCUUUGCAUUUGGAGGCGUAGUUUAAUUUGUAAGUUUGCACCACUGUGAGUAUAGGGACUUUAUACCUAGUCAUAUGCCCAUAAUUAAGAAAUGCUUUAGAGAAAAUAUUUGUACAUGAUAUGACUGAUAGGAGGGGACUAUCCAAAAUAUGUAACAGCUCAUACAACUCAGUAUCAAAAAAAAAAAACAAACAAAACACAAUUAAACGUGGGCAGAAGACCUUGAUAGAUGUUUUUCUAGAGAAGACAGGCAGAAGGCCAACAGCCACAUGAAAAAAUGGUCACUAUAAUUACACCAGAGAAAUGUGAGUCAAAGUCGCCAUGAGAACACCUCACAGCUGUCAGAAUGGCUACCAUCAAAAAGACCACACAUAACAAACGUUGGCAAGGAUGUGGCGAAAAGAAACACUUACACACUGCUGGUGGGCGUGUAAACUAGUGCAGUCACUGUGGACGUCAAUGUGGGGGUUCCUCCAAAACUAAAAGUAGAACUACCACAUGAUUCCGCAAUUCCACUCCUGAGUGUGUGUCCCAAGACACUGAAAGCACUCAUUUGAAAAGAUGUGUGCACCCUGGUGUUUGCAGCAGCAUUAUUUAUGGCAGCCAAGAGGCGGAAGCAAGCCAAGUGCCCAUCCAUGGAUGAAUGAAGAAAAUGUGGUGUAUAUGUAGAUAUUCGUGUGUGUGCGUGUGCGUGUGCGUGCCAUACAAAGAAGGAGAUUCUGCCAUUUGGAGCAAUGUCAAUGGACCUCGAGAAUAUUAUGCUCAGUGAAAUAAGACAGACAGAGAAAGAUAGAUACCGUAUGAUAAAAAUUCUACGUGGAAUCUAAUAAAUAAAACAAACGAAUGUAUAUAACAAAACAGAAACAGACUCACGGGUAUAGAGAACACACUAGUGGUUUCCAGUGGGGAAAGGGGACGGUCAAGGCACAGGUGUGGGAUAAUAGGCUUAAGAAACAAACUGCUAUAAAAAUGGAUAAGCAAAAAGGAUAUGUCGUACGGCACGGGGAAUACAGCCAUUGUUUUGUAAUCACUUUAAAUGGAGUAUAGUCUAAAAAUACUGAAUCACUCUGUUUUAAACCUGAAACUAAUAUAAUGCUGUACAU
This 5845-nucleotide long non-coding RNA is filed under the name Sus scrofa (pig). RNAcentral's name for it is "lncRNA (ENSSSCG00000049125.2)". Lineage: Eukaryota; Metazoa; Chordata; Mammalia; Artiodactyla; Suidae. The record is from RNAcentral.